CUAGAUUUGUGAAUAUAAAAUUUUCCCAGCAUAAGGAUGCUAUUGACUAUAAUAAAAUUAUAGUUUGGUAUAUUUAUUGGUAUAUUUGGUAUAUUUAUACAUAUAAUUAUUGUUUGGUCUCGUACUCUAUCGCAUACAUUGUCAGUGUCGUGCGCUUGCUUAGACCUUUGUUGUGAUAAACAGUAAAGUGUGUUCAAGCGCUAGCAAAAGACAGUGUAAAGAAAUACCCUUUGAGAGAAGAAGUUAAAUCAGCGGAAGUUAAAAGCAGAUCGUUAGUAUACGGCGGCAGCCCUCCUGUUAAGCCCUCCUCGUGUGAAGACCGAAGAGNCCAUCGACUCUACCGUGCGACUCCACCGGGCAGGGACACCGGCAAUGGAUAUAAGUAUUGUUUUGAUUACUCCUUUUUUACUUCUGCUUGUUUCACUUCUAUUUCAGUUUUUAUAACCAAUUCUUACUAUGUGUUUCCAGAUCCCUACUAUCACUACCACUCGGAAACCACGCAUCACACACUGUAGGCAGCGCAAUCCUAACAACCUGCACACUCUGCCUAUGUCUGCUAAUACACUAUCUUUUUCUAUUGGUCUCUGGAAUUGCCAGUCUGCUGUAAACAAAGCCGAUUUCAUUACUCCUCUUAUUAGUCAUUCAAAGCUAAAUCUCAUGGCCCUGACAGAGACCUGGAUCAAACCAGAGGACACUGCUACACCUGCAGCACUCUCCAACAAUUUCUCAUUUUCCCACUCCCCCCGUUUGACUGGAAGAGGUGGAGGUACUGGUCUGCUCAUCUCUAAUGAUUGGAAAUUGAAUCCUUUGCCAUCUUUGGGUAUCAACAGCUCCUUUGAAUCUCAUUCAGUUACUGUUACCUACCCUCUUAAAAUUCAUUUUGUUGUUGUCUAUCGACCCCCAGGACCACUAGGUAACUUUUUGGAUGAAUUAGAUGUGCUGCUCUCAACCUUUCCUGAGGAUGGUACUCCCCUAGUUAUGCUUGGAGACUUCAACAUCCACCAAGAUAAACCUCUAUCUGCUGACUUCCACACUCUGUUUGCCUCUUUUGAUCUCAACCGAGUGUCAACUACUGCUACUCACAAAUCAGGCAACCAACUGGACCUUAUUUACACACAACACUGCUCCACUGAUCAUGUACUGGUUACUCCACUGCACACCUCAGAUCACUUCCUCCUCACUCUUAACCUCAACAUGGUUCCUGACACGUCACUUACCCCUUCACAUGUCAUCUUUCGACGUAACCUACGCUCACUCUCACCCUCCCGGCUAUCUGCAAUGGUUUCAUCUUUGCUUCCUCCCCCUAAACUAUUAGCAUCUUUUGAUGCUAACAGUGCUACUGAUACUUUCUGCUCCACUCUUACAUCUUGUUUAGACACUGUUUGCCCCUUGUCUUCCAGGCCAGCCCGUACCACCCCUUCAGCCCCUUGGUUAUCUGAUGUUCUACGCGAACAUCGUUCUAAGCUUAGAGCUGCUGAAAGGGUGUGGCGCAAAUCCAAAAAUACUACUGACCUUAAUGUGUAUCAGUCACUCCUCUCUUCCUUUUCUGCUAAUGUCUCCACUGCUAAAAAGACAUACUACCAUAACAAAAUUAAACAUUCGUCUAACUCUCGCAUGCUUUUUAAAACAUUUUCCUCACUCCUUUGUCCUCCUCCUCCCCCUCCUGCUUCAUCUCUAAUAGCUGACGACUUUGCCACGUUUUUCAUUAAUAAAAUUAAAAACAUCAGUGCACAAUA
This is a long non-coding RNA of Cyprinus carpio (common carp), 1736 nucleotides long. The record is from Ensembl. NCBI's taxonomy places the organism in Eukaryota, Metazoa, Chordata, Actinopteri, Cypriniformes, Cyprinidae.